AGAGAGAGACAUGCGCGCAUAUCAAUAAGCGGAGGAAAAGAAACUAACAAGGAUUCCCUUAGUAACGGCGAGUGAAGCGGGAAGAGCUCAAAUUUGAAAUCUUCAAGGUUCUACCUUGACGAAUUGUAGUUUAUAGAAGUGUUUUCUGUUAGUGGAGUGGCAAAAGUUCUUUGGAAUAGGACAUCAUAGAGGGUGAGAAUCCCGUAUUUGGUCAUUCCUCCUAGCGUUGUGAUACACUUUCAACGAGUCGGAUUGUUUGGGAAUGCAGUCCAAAAUGGGUGGUAAAUUUCAUCUAAAGCUAAAUAUUGGCGAGAGACCGAUAGCGAACAAGUACCGUGAGGGAAAGAUGAAAAGAACUUUGAAAAGAGAGUUAAACAGUACGUGAAAUUGUCAAAAGGGAAGCGUUUGACACCAGUGUUGUUUUUCCGAAAAUCAAUUACGAAUGUUUUAGUUUUUGAGGAGUUAUGACUUCAUCGGCUUGCUCCUUUCUUUAUGAAACUUUCUUAAUGCACUUUUCGGUUAACAAGUCAACAUCAAUUUCUUUUGUUGUAAAAGGGUAUGAGGAAGGUGGCUUUCUUUUCGGAGAAAGUGUUUAUAGCCUUGUGCCUCUGCAAUCGGAGAGAUUGAGGUCUGCAGCGUAGAUCCUUCGGGGUUAGAUACAGUUUGUGCUAAGUUAUAGCUUUUCAUAGACAACUUGUUGACUAUGUUUAGUCUUGUAGCUUACUCGCUGAUGCUAUUUUACCUACGCUUAGGAUGUUGAUAGUCACAGCGUGUAC
RNAcentral lists this ribosomal RNA (776 nucleotides) under uncultured Neocallimastigales. RNAcentral describes it as "partial large subunit ribosomal RNA". It matches the Rfam family "Eukaryotic large subunit ribosomal RNA", at positions 23 to 644 of the family's 3401-position model. Lineage: Eukaryota; Fungi; Neocallimastigomycota; Neocallimastigomycetes; Neocallimastigales. The record is from RNAcentral.